UGCGAACUCCUACGGGAGGCAGCAGUGGGGAAUAUUGCGCAAUGGGGGGAACCCUGACGCAGCCAUGCCGCGUGAAUGAAGAAGGCCUUCGGGUUGUAAAGUUCUUUCGGUAUUGAGGAAGGAGUGUAUGUUAAUAGCAUGCAUUAUUGACGUUAAAUACAGAAGAAGCACCGGCUAACUCCGUGCCAGCAGCCGCGGUAAUACGGAGGGUGCGAGCGUUAAUCGGAAUAACUGGGCGUAAAGGGCACGCAGGCGGUGACUUAAGUGAGGUGUGAAAGCCCCGGGCUUAACCUGGGAAUUGCAUUUCAUACUGGGUCGCUAGAGUACUUUAGGGAGGGGUAGAAUUCCACGUGUAGCGGUGAAAUGCGUAGAGAUGUGGAGGAAUACCGAAGGCGAAGGCAGCCCCUUGGGAAUGUACUGACGCUCAUGUGCGAAAGCGUGGGGAGCAAACAGGAUUAGAAACCCCGGUAGUCCAGAGAA
Molecule: ribosomal RNA, 480 nt
Filed under: uncultured bacterium
Lineage: Bacteria
Description: bacterial SSU rRNA
Rfam family: Bacterial small subunit ribosomal RNA
Source: RNAcentral